This 253-nucleotide ribosomal RNA is filed under the name uncultured bacterium. Its description in RNAcentral is "partial 16S ribosomal RNA". It matches the Rfam family "Bacterial small subunit ribosomal RNA", at positions 524 to 776 of the family's 1533-position model. The record is from RNAcentral.
UACAGAGGGUGCAAACGUUGCUCGGAAUUACUGGGCGUAAAGCGCGUGUAGGCGGGCCGAUAAGUCAGGCGUGAAAUCCCCGAGCUCAACUCGGGAACUGCACCUGAAACUGUCGGCCUAGAGUGAUGGAGAGGGUAGCGGAAUUCCUGGUGUAGAAGUGAAAUUCGUAGAUAUCAGGAGGAACACCGGUGGCGAAGGCGACUACCUGGACAUUAACUGACGCUGAGACGCGAAAGCGUGGGGAGCAAACAGG